AUCAAGCUGAAGAGUCCCAAAUAGGACGAAGUACGCAUCCUAAAU
This 45-nucleotide non-coding RNA is filed under the name Trichobilharzia regenti. Lineage: Eukaryota; Metazoa; Platyhelminthes; Trematoda; Strigeidida; Schistosomatidae. The record is from RNAcentral.